CAAAAAUAAAUAAAUAAAUAAAUUGAUGGGUGCAGAAGAUCAUCAAAAACCCUAAAAAUCUGCAUUUCUCUAGUAAACCCCAUCAAAAUGGCUGACUCUGUAUUGCACAAAGAAGAAGGAUCAAUGCCAGAAACUGAAAAUAAAGACGAAUCCACAUUGCCUUCCAAGCGUAAACUCGAUUCACUUCCAGUUUCAGAUGGCAAAGAAGCAGUCCCAGAAGAUCAACCUAACAAAACUCAAAAGCUCCAAUCUCUCACCCACAACGGCAAUUCACUGGUCAUCGAGGAGAAAAUCACCGGAAACCAACCGCUACUACCUUCUAAUGACAAUUCCUGCGCCAAUUCUUCCAUUCCCCAAGAGAAAAGCAGCAGUAAAGCUGUGGCAGAAGAUGACGACACCAGAGAAGGAGAAGAAGAAGAAGAAGAUGAUGAUGGAGAUUAUGAGGAUGAGGAAGAGGAGGAGGAAGACAACGGAGAGGCGGCUGUGGUGGAUAGGAAAGGUAAGGGGAUAAUGGUAGAAGAGGAGGAAGAUGAUGAUAGUGAUGAUGACGACAUUGAUUCGAGUGAUGGUGGAAGUGAAUUGGACGGUGAUGGCAGUGAGCUAGAGGAUGAUCCUUUGGCUGAGGUUGAUCUGGAUAACAUUCUACCGUCGAGGACGCGGCGACGGGCUGCGCAGCCUGGGGUUUAUGUUGCUAACGACCAUGGUAACGAUGACGAUGAUAGCGAUGAUAGUGAUGCCUGAUUCAAGGCAGGUCAGUUGAAAAUUGAGGUUAUUGGUUACUGAAUUUGGGGUUUACUAAUUAGUGUUAGUGAUUUUGGUGAGACUAUAUCUAUUUCACAUUUCUUAGAUUCAAUGCAGGAAGAUUAUUGGACAAAUGUUGUAACUUUGAUUAGUUUUUAUCUUCUCUUUUUCUUCUUCUUCUUCUUCUUCUUUGCAUUUAGAGUAAUAUCCCAUCACAAUUUAUCGAAAAUUGUAGAAUUUUCGAUUUGUUAUUUUGUUUCUCCUUUUGAAUUGUAUUGAAUAAACAGCAUAGGGAAGAUAGACCAACAAAGAAGUUUCAACCAUUCGGAGUUUAUUCUACUAAUUGGUGAUGUUCCCUUGGGAGUUUUCUUUUGCUUUAUCAAAACUCUGUAAUUUCUUGAAAGAAAGAAACGAUCCUUAGGCAAUUGAUGUAUGUUUGGAGACAAACAAACACUUGGAUGCAAGUUACACUAGAUUAGCUGCCUUUAGUGGAUUAUUAUUACCACAUAUAAGCCUUGUUCUCCAGCUUAGUCAAAACUGACGUAUAGGAAAAGUUAAAACAUAGAGAUAUAGAAAGUCUAUCAAUUCAUGAUGCGGAAAUUGAGUAAUGCAUUUAGAAGUGGCCAUCCCCUAUGUAUUGUAGAAUCCACCAUUGAUACACGUGUUUCUACGCUGACAAGUCCAGCUUUGUUCUGUAUCUUCAUGAGAAAUUGAGUUUCGCAUACUUCUCUUAUUCCCCACCCUAAACUCUGCUGGGGUGUGCUUAGGAUAUGAUUUUAUCUCUGGCAAAUAUCUAGUGAGGAGUGCAAUUUGCUACCAUGGUACCGUUAGAUUAUGCUUUUAUUGAGAUGCAUGUUGAGUGUGCAAUUACCCUAUUAAAGAGAGGGAAAUAAUGGUAUUAGUUUGUUCUUGUAAAAGGUUGACUAAAGAGCUGUGUGUGUGUGUGUGUGUGUGUGUGCGUGUGCGUGCGCCCGUGUGUGUGUGUGUGUGUGUGUGUGUGUGUGUGUGUGUGUGAGAGAGAGAGAGAGAGAGAGAGAGAGAGAGAGAGAGAGAUUAUGUAACCCUUUAUGUGAAGUGUGUUUCUAGGAGAGAUCUUCCUUUCCAUAUGGUACUUAACACUAUACAAAAUUUUGAGGAUCCAAUAUGUGCUAAGAAGUAAAAAUUUUGGGUUUCUAAUGUGCCCUAAGUUUCGUGCAGUGUUAUCAUUGCAUUGGUAAAUGAUGUGAGGAGAUUAGUGAUUACAACUCUUUACAGGCAUAUAAUUUAGACUUUGAGAAAGAGGCUAAUGGGUUUGAUAGGUAUGGCAGUCCACUUUUCAAAAAUAAAGUUGAUUUACAAUGUUUGUCGCUUGCGCAUUUGUCUCUUGUAUAUAUCAAUACAAAGAUCUCUCUGUUUUUUCCUGAGCUUCCUUUUGAAUAAUUAUCAUUGAUUUUUAUCAUAGGUUAUCAAUGUUAAGAAACUAACUAGCCUAUCUUUUUGGUUUCUAGGGCCCUGGUUCCUUUUGGCAGCAGCCUUGUCUCAAGAUUUCGCUGCCUUUAUAGCAACUUAGUGGAUGCGUAUCCUGGAAGGUCAAGAAAGUUUACAUCAUAUAAAGCAACUGUAAACAUGAUUUCUUAUGUUGUGAAAUUACAAUGUGAUUUAGAGAUAUUAGAUUCCAAUUUUCUAGCUAGUUAUCUUUAAUUCAACAGUACUCAGAAUAACAUCACACUUGGUCUUGUUGAGUAGCAGAAUUUAGGCAUGCAACGUGUCAUCUGGUUCUGGUGUUGUGUU
RNA transcript from Hevea brasiliensis (rubber tree), 2511 nucleotides. RefSeq lists it as uncharacterized. The transcript has 2 exons. Lineage: Eukaryota; Viridiplantae; Streptophyta; Magnoliopsida; Malpighiales; Euphorbiaceae. The record is from RefSeq and is a predicted model, not a curated record.